AAAUUAGGGCAUCGACCUCGAGUGGAGCCCUGGCAAUAUAAAUUGGUAGAGGUCGAUCAUUCGAGAAUCGAGAUCCAUCCAUUGCCGAAACUAGAAGGUGCAGCGAAGACUGUUGGGGAAGAGCGUUCAAAAGGGUCUGAAACGCUAUGAGGGCUAAGUGGAAGAAGAAGCGCAUGAGGAGGCUGAAGAGGAAGCGCCGAAAGAUGCGACAAAGAUCUAAGUAGGGGGAUUUCGACAUUGUCUCCUCCGCAAAUCUCAUGAUUUUCUAUUGCGAGAUCCAAUAGAAGUGUGAGUCUUCAAGGAGGCAUUCUUUCCGUCAGGAGUUCCCUUUCUUCUGUUUUAAGUAUUUUGUUUAAUCUUGUUGGAUUGCUAAGAAUUUGUUCUAAGUUUUUGUCAAACUUCGUAUGAAUUUGUCUUUGUUUAACAUCGAUCUAUUAGUACACUUUAAUAUGCUUUCGGAAUUGUUGAAGUUUGAUGUUGUUGAUUGA
Long non-coding RNA from Dendrobium catenatum, 488 nucleotides. RefSeq lists it as uncharacterized. Lineage: Eukaryota; Viridiplantae; Streptophyta; Magnoliopsida; Asparagales; Orchidaceae. The transcript is spliced from 2 exons. The record is from RefSeq and is a predicted model, not a curated record.